This 465-nucleotide ribosomal RNA is filed under the name uncultured soil bacterium. Its description in RNAcentral is "bacterial SSU rRNA". It matches the Rfam family "Bacterial small subunit ribosomal RNA", at positions 26 to 518 of the family's 1533-position model. The record is from RNAcentral.
AGGACAAACGCUGGCGGAAUGUAUUAGGCAUGCAAGUCGUACGAACCUUCGGGUUAGUGGCGAACGGGUGAGUAACACGUGGGUAACCUGCCUCGUAGUGGGGAAUAACUCGCCGAAAGGCGAGCUAAUACCGCAUAACACCUCUGGUGAGAUUCCAGAUGGUAAAAGCUCCGGCGCUACGAGAGGGGCCCGCGGUCGAUUAGCUAGUUGGUGGGGUAACGGCCUACCAAGGCGACGAUCGAUAGCUGGUCUGAGAGGAUGGUCAGCCACACGGGGACUGAGAUACGGCCCCGACUCCUACGGGAGGCAGCAGCUAAGAAUCUUGCGCAAUGGGCGAAAGCCUGACGCAGCAAUUCCGCGGUGGGGACGAAGGCCGUUCGGGUACGUUAAACCCCGUUUGCGAGGAAGAAGUACUGGACGGUACCUCGCGAAUAAGACACGGACUAACUACGUGCCAGCAGCCGC